GAGGAGAGGGGGUGUUGAUACACAGCUCCUUAUCCCGAGAGCAUCCCACUUGUUGGGGACCUAAGCUUUAACGGAGCAAUGUGUUGUAAGACGUUUAGUCAAAUGAUUAUUCAGGUAUGGGUCUCCAGUGUGGAGCCUGGGGAGGAAAUAUCUCAAAGAGCCAUUUCUAUUUCUUAAGCUCUUCAAUUACAGCCAACAGGAAGAAGGUUGCCUUCUGACGCAGUGAUACUUAAGGAUACCAUCAGGCCAGGAUGAGAUUAAUUCUGUGGCUUAUUUUGUCUUUAGACAGUUACCGUCUGUAUCUAUGGAUUUGCUCAUACAUAGAAGGUUUACGGGACCAGCUGGACCAAGACUGUAUCUCUGCUGUCUGUGUACCAUUUAUCUUUCUGAGACAGCCUCUCUCCCGUCACUCACGGCAGAGACCUAAUAUAUUCUUAAUAAGCCUCAAAUCUUCUUGCUUUGUCAAAAUUCAUACAUCUUUAAUGAUCUGAAAUUGCUUUUCAAAGGUGCUUAUGUUGAUUAUUUUUCAUUACUGACAUAUGCAAGUGGCAGUGGUACUCUUAACGGAAUGAUUUACAUGGUAGCUUUCGCAUGAGACACUCCGGGCUGCUGGCUGUGUCAUGUGGGUAAACAAACCCAUAAGUGGUUUUGACACAUCUGUACUGUGUAUAUAAAAGGAUCCUUCGCCUUGCCACAGGAUUCCAUUAGAGGCUUCUGAAUUGCCUUUAAAAAUAAGAACGUUUAUGGCUAAUUGACAAUACAUUACAAGGGAAAUUAAGGUGAAAGAAGAAAUGACAUUAGGUCUACUCUGCAUUCAUAACUUAGCAAGCAUAAUUCAUCUCUCAAGCAUUAAAGGAGAAAUGUAUUACUGCAUCAGACACUGAUACACAUUUUUAAUAAUUCCUUCUAAGUAUUAUAUAAUCUGCAAGAGUUCUAUAAUAGCUCAUUUGACUAUCUGCACGUAAUCAUAACGAUAUUAAUAAUCUAGAAUUUCCGAUUCAGGCAGGGUAGUGUUUCCAAGGGAAUUCUUAGUUCAUAAAAAUUAGUUACACUGAUUACAGCUGGCCAGUAUAUCAUGUGCUUUUUUAUAUCAGAUCUGCUACAGUUAAUGCAAACAAGAUAAAGAACAGAGCCUAUAUUCUAAUCUCUAUUAGUAGGUUUAAGGGGACUGAGCGUUUUCUGACCAGUCAGUCCUGGUUAAUUUAGCAAACAGCAUCAAUUAUGCAAAGCAAUGGGCUGAUGCACAGUAAAGGUAGGUCUGCCAUUGGCUCAGGUAGAUACCAAAGGGAGGAGCUGAAAUUAGAAAAUGCAUUGGAAGAUACACGGUAAAUCAUAAUUAGCACAACACUUUAACUUAUCAGAAGUAUUUUAACACAGUGUCCACGAAAACACUAUGAAGCAGCUAUGAAAGUAUGUGUACCGAGAAUAAGAUAUCAAGAUUUAUCAUUUUCAUAUCACGAGGAACAUAUUAAAUAUCAUAAAGAAUCACUGAUAGGUUAAAACUAAGACUAAAAAACAAUCACCUAUAUUUUACUUUCAAGGGUAAAGUUUGCGAUGAUGACCUCAAAAGCCUGAUCCUGAACAAUGAAAGGAAAUAUGGAUACACGAGGUUAAAAUAGUUAGGGAAAUAAUUGCAACAAUAAAAAUAUCAUUAUAGAAGCCAGGGCAGGAAAUAAUCAAAAAAAUGCAGGCAUGUUGCAAGAAGCCAUUAGGAAUAAUAAUCGUAAAAACAAUACAAUAUAGUUAAAAAUUAAUAUACCUAACAGUUGCUGAUAUGCACAUUAGGUUGCAGAGAAAUUACUUUGAAAGUGUAUGCUUAAAUGUAAAAGAAUACCAAGUAGUUGUACCAAAUUUUAAGGUCUUCCCCCCCCGCCUCCCCCAUGGAACUUUCUUAUAGGUGUGUAGGCUAGCCAUUUAAGAAAAGCUAUUAUUAUGUUUUAUUCAUGAAAUACUUUUCUUGACUUUUAGAGUGUUUAUCUCUUAAGGGGAUCCACGUAGAACACAGGGAGAGUAGUUCCAUAUUUCUUGUAGGGAGGUGAUUUCUCAAACUUUAUUUUGGGUUUCAUAUCCAAAAGAACCAGUGACAGAAGGAUUCUGAAAACCACACACACUACAAAUACAAGUGGUUGAGACGAUUCUAGACUCUUCUCUGAGCUCUGCCUCUGAGUGCCUUGGAGAUUACGAGCACUCGGCUGGUAUAACAACAGCUACUGGUUCCUACCUCUGACCCAGGUCGGCCUUUCUUUCAGUUUAGACCAGUUUCAGAAUGACCUUAGAACACGAGGUGCUCUCUUCCCAACCUUGCUUCUUGACGGUAAUAAAAAGGCUUUAGUUUAUGGUAUUAGGCUAAGCACUUUAUAUUACUCGUUUAUUUAAUCUUCAGCACCAGCUUAGGAUGUAAGCGUAACUGAGACAGCAAAUACAGAUGAGAGAGAGAGAGAGAGAGAGAGAGAGAGAGAGAGAGAGAGAGAGAGAGAGAGAGAGAGAGAGAACAAGUUAAGCGGGCCAGCCCCAUGGGCUGUCUGGCUCCAGACAUGGCUAAGAACCAUUGUCAUGAAGCCAUCUCUUUCCCCAGUACACACACACACACACACACACACACACACACACACACACACACACAUAUACACUGCUGCAGAAGGACCGCACACCCAUUAUUGACCUAAGAAUGCGAAUCAUUGCUAAAGCCAUGGGGAUAGCACCACCUUCUUUUAGAUGUCUUCCACAAGGCUCCUUUGAGUAACACCAAGGGAGUGUAUGAGUUAGCUAUACAUUGCUGUGACAAAAAUGCCAGUCAGAAGCAACUUAAAGGAUUGGACGAUUCAUCUUAGCUCUAUCUUUUAGAGGUACGAUGGGGGUGGGUGGCCAGGAAGCAGAGAAAAGGGAAUAUUGAUACUCACCCCCCCCCUUGUUUUUUUUUUUUAAUCCGUUUAAGUCCCCAGUCCAUGUUGGUGUCAUUCAGGACAGUUAUUCCUCCCCUAGUCCUCUGUGGCAAGGCCCCCACAAUUGGACACAGACAUAUGCCUCAACUUCCUGGUGACUCAGUCUAGCCACGUUGACAGUGAAGAUGAACUCACCCUCAAAACGGGUCUCCUUGCAAUGAAUGUCAGGAUGCAGAUGCCUUUCAUGGCUCUGACUAAUUCCUGGUUUUCACUGCCUCUUUCAAAAUAUGUCCAUUUGCACAGUGGCCCCUGGGACACAGCAAGUGAAAGACUAGGCACUAGGGGUCCCUGAUCUACUUGCUGACACUGGCGGGCAAUGACUGGGAGACUGUGGAAGUAUUGCCAUUGGAUUACCAGUCAAUAUGCUUUCAGUAUCAGCAAAGCAAAGGGCUGGUCCCGCAAUCUUUGGAAACGUGUCUCUCUGUGUCCUGUAAGAGAGAAUCCGUUCUCUUUUUAAGCCUUCUCACUGACUGGGGGGAAGACACACAGAGGUGGAUAAGAUGAUCUGCUACCUUCUGGCUCAGUACUGAGCUUGGGCUCUGAGGCCCUUAUGGAGUACCUGUUCACAGGGUUGCAUUUGCUUUCUAACACGAUGGUUAGGAAGGUACAACAUCACUUUGCAAGUUCCUCUAAGGACUGUCAUCAAAAUCUAGAGCUUUGAUGAGUUUUACAGAUGUAUAUGACUUUAUGCAUAAAUAGUCCUCAUUAGCGUCGGGAUAAUCAAUGUAUUCUUGUUGCCUGGUUCCAUAUAGUUUUAACACGUGUUAUGGAAAGUGAGGAAAGACAUGUCUUAUGAAGGCUUCUGUAUGUUCUAUGAAGAAGCGAUCUGUAGGGAAAGGAGAGGAAGUUUGUACUACUCAGUUCAUAAAUCCCCCCCUUCUCUGUCACCUAUCUGUCACCUAUCUGUCACCUAUCUGUUUCUCCCCCUCCCCCUAACACACGAGGGUGUUAACAGUAACUGCCAUUUGCUGUUAAUUAUAUGUGAAAACUACGCUAAGCAUUUACAAUACAUUAGCUGUUGCAUUUUCCCCCUCCUACGAGUUAAGAGGUAGAAGAAUCCUUAUCUUUCCAUUUUAGUGGCAAAGAGAUAGAGGCACAGGACAGGGGACUGACUUGUCUAGGCUGAACCUGCAGGCAACUGGGAAAGCACCGAGAGUCCCACUUUGAGUCAGCCAGUCACGUGUACAGCUCAGAAGACACAGGGCUGUGUACCUGUGUGAGGCCGAGCAUGCGCAUCAUCUGUUUUGGGAUUGGUCCGGGGAAUGUCUGACCAAGGGGAAAGCAUUACUUCAUCACUGCAGAUGAAGGGAAGACUGAAUACAAGCUAACUUGAACCACUAACCCACCGAUACCCCAGUGCACGUAACAGUACGUUACAGCUUUUGGCUACGAACUGCUGUAACGUGCAGUCUUGAAAACCAGUAGGCAGGCAGGUAAAAAUACACACACAACCCAAAGGGCUGAAGACAAGAACAGAAGCAGUUCAGCUGGCCUAUAAACGCCGCACCAGGAGGACCUGCUCAGCAGUAUAACCAAGGAAGGCUGUUCACUUUUAAAAAGGAAUGAAGUCAAAGAAUAUACAUGUCUGUCUUCUUUAGGGAGGAACAUGGAUGUCUCAAAGGCUACUUGGCAUGAUAUCGAUUCCAAAUCACCAAUACGCCGAUUCUCAUAAACACAGAGAAGAGACGGAGGCAACCAUGUUGGCUCCAUGUAUAUUAAGUAGCUCACGAGGGAAAAGGGAAAGUGUCUGUGUGUGCAUAGCUGCUGAUGUGUUUGGUUAGGAACAAUUCCCACUGUUUCCGCCGUCGACGGAGUGCUUGGUCGGAACACAUUAAAUUGUACAGUAUUUCCACGGGACUGCUGAAUUAACUCUCAGAUUUAAGUUAGACAUAGGCAAACAAUAGAGGAUUGAGGACACUGGAAAUAUUUCUCUUUUUAAAGACAACAGUCGGAGCCUAGGGGUCUAUCUUCAGAAGAGGUUAAUUCACUCAGAGGGGUGCACACUAAAGCAAGGAGGUACUCCUCGCUGCGGCUAGGAGUGCGAAGUCCUUGGCAGGGAGGGCAGAGUUUGUAUGUAGCAUUGUGUGCUUCACAAGUUCUAAAACGCAGAUUUAAGAAAAAAAUGAUUCACAUUAGUAUCUCAUUAAAGUUGUAAGUAAGCAUCAUUCUUAGAUUAUUCAUGCGCCAAGCCCUAGUAGGGUGACAGAGAAGCUACCGUCUGCAAAUAAGUAUAUAUUAAAUCCAUUUAUUCCAAUCAGCAACCGUUUAAAUCAGCGUGCAGGCCGCAUACCCAUUGAGUUGAUGUUCCUUAAUUGGUACUCACUGUGAGGUUUUAUUACUGAUUACUAUACCAUAAAGGAUUAUGAUACUGACAUCAUUUUAAACACCAUAAAAUAAUUCUAUAUUCUUAAGAGUUUACAUAGGUCCAUUAAAAUAUACUUUACAAAAAAAAAAAAAAACCCCGAGAAUUUUUAUUCUAAGAUCAGGGAAAAGCAUUUAAAAUAUUCCACACCAUCUAGGAAAGCCAAUGAAUUUGAAUUUCAGCAUCUAGUAAGUGUGAGAUGGUGUCAUAUAAAGAAAAAUAGCUUGUGUGCAUAUGUGCAUAGUGUGCUUUCUUAGAGACCAUUUACUCCCCAAAACUGGCCCCCUUCUGAAGACCUGCUUCAAAUAUCUUUGACAGUUUGGGUAUUCCCUGUUUUUGUUUUGUUUGUUUGUUUGGGUUUUUUGUUUGUUUGUUUGUUUGAGACAGGCCUUCUCUGUAUAGCUCUGGCUGUCCUGGAACUCACUUUGUAGACCAGGCUGGCCUUGAACCCAGAAAUCCGCCUGCCUUUGCCUCCCGAGUGCUGGGAUUAAAGGCGUGCGCCACCACUGCCCGGUGGGUAUUCACUCUUUACCCCCUCUCUGUUUUUGUUUCAGUUUGGAAAUUUGGUGUAUGACAUUUCUGGAUGAAUGCAUUGUUCCUCACAUUAUCCACGCAGGUAAAUCACUAUGCUUUGGUUUGGAAUGCUACUCAAAACAAGACGUCCCCACAGAGUGAAAUGGUCACUUCCUGACUUAAACCAGACUAUAAUAAUUCAGAUCACAGAGAAAAGAUGCUUUGGGACUAACUACAGUAUUGUAAGGACAGCACUGUCAUUAAAGGGCCACUAUGAGUUAGUUACAGGGCCUCCUUACAGGACAGUAUUUGGUAUUUCCUUCAGUUUAAAAUUAUAUGCCCAAAUGAAGACUAUAUAUUUACAAUGGGGGUACUCAGAAUGCCUGCCCAGACACAUGGAUGUCAACAUAUGCAGAACUUGUCACAAGAGAAGCUAUUGUCUGGCACACACUGUGUCGAGCUUUGUAAUAGUCUUCGAAUGUGGCACGAUUCCUCCUGUUGGAUCAUAUACAGAAACAUGUUACCAACACAUGUCUCCUUUAGUUCCCAGUCCCUGGGUUUUACUGGAUGACAUAAGGGAAAACCCAGCUUGGGAUUUUGUGAUUCAAGAAGGCAGGGGUGGGGGUGGGGUAAAGGACAGGUGUAGUUUAGUAUUCUGAUGUGGGAAAAAAAAAACUAGCCAGAGAGCACUGCUAAUGUUACUCAAAUGGAAUGAGGGUGUAGCUCUGUGUAGAGCAUAUGCUAACUAUGUACAGGGCCCUGGGUUCGAUUCUCAGGACGCUCUCAAAAGUAUAGGCUGAGGACACAUCUCAGUGGGAGGGCCCAUGCUUACUGUGUGUAAGGCCCUGAGUUCAAGCCACAGAACACACAUAUGCGUGCUACAAAAUUUUAUGCCAAGAGUUAUGUAUUUGAAACAAGAACUGCAGUGUGUCAUACAGUGCUAAAACACCAAUCAGAACUGGGGCUGGAGCUGUGUCCCUUUACCUCAGCACUUGGGAAGCAGAGGCUGUGAGUUCAAGGCCAGCCUGGUUUUCAUAGUGAGUUCCAGGACAGCUACAGCUAUCCAGAAGAACCGUAUCUCAAAAAACAGACAGACAGACAGAAUAUCAGUCAGAGGAAGGUACUGAUUUGUUCAGAAUGGAUCAGGGGCUACCUAUAAUCACUACUUCACUCGUCUUUAUGUAUUUGAAAAAUUCAAUACUUGGGCUGGGAAUGUAGCUCAGCUGCUGCUGUGCUUGUCUAAGAUGCAUGAAGUCCAGGGUUCAACUCCCAGAAUUACAUAAAUCAGAAUGGCUGUUUUAUGUAAUGGUGCAUGCUUGCAAUCCCGGCACUCAGUGGACAUAGAAGUCACCUCCUAUCAGAAGUUCAGAGUCAAAAUAUGUGACUUAUGGAGUUUGAGAGCAUCUUAGGUGACAUCAAAUCCUGCCUCACCAAGUUAAUAAUUAAUAUUUAAAAAUUCAAAAGAAGGGAAAGUUUGUAGACUGUCAAUUAGGUGAAUAGAGCUUUGGGUCUUUCUUACAUCAGUUUUCGUUUUAGGUAGGAAAACUUUAAUUAAAAAGAUCAAAUUGUCUUUUUCACUCCACCCAGAUAAACUAUAACUCAUUUAAAUAUGUAGACGAAAAUAGUUAAUUUUUGAAAGAUGACUUAAAUAGAAUGCCUUAUCCCUGAUUCUGAGGCGAGAAAGUGCACAAAAGUAUACAGAUAACUUUCUAUACCUUCUCUCUAUGGGCAUACACUGAUGACAAGUAUAAUCUACCCAUUUUCUACAAGUGCAUUGUUUAGUGGCCAAAGCCUGUAUAAAGUAUUUAGCCUAAUCAUUUCAGGUGAUAUAGAAACUAGAUAUAAACUUAAAUUUUGCAAAGGAAAACACAUUUUUUCAAUAGUUUCCAACCUCUUCAAAUUCUUCCCAGUAUAAUUAAUGUUCUUUAACAUUUUUUUGUUUUUGUAAUUGUUAUUUUUAUUUGAAAAACUUUAAGCACUAUUAAUAGAUAUAUUUCAAACCUUGCUAAAAAUCUUUCAAACUUCCUUGAAAUAAAAUUAUAAACACAAGGCAUUUUAUUACUGAGCAAUGACUGUUACUUCAUAUGUUUUUAUGGCGAUUCAGAUUUUUAUGACAAAUGGUUAUUAGUUUAUUAUGGAAAAAAAGAAUUUCUACUGUAUGAAAACAUACAUGACCAACUUAGGAAUGAUGUACCAGGCAGCCUCAGCUAGUUCUUCAGCGUAUGAGCUCAGGAAUAGCUCUUGCGGGGUUGGAAUGGGGUUCUCUUGUACAUCAGCCAUAUAGCCAUAGAGAAGGUCUACAGAUUAAGUUCUCUGAACUGCGGUUUCCUGAAGGUCUAAUAGCUUUACCUUAUAAUACAGCCAAUCUAUGAAGACCACUCUAUAUUAGAUCUCAGCCCAUGGUAUACACUUAGCAGGUAGUAGGGAUUCAUCUUAUUCACAGUUUAUAAUUGAAAAACCCAGACUUAUGAGGUGACUUAUAAUAAUGAUUAGGAUUAAUAUUAUAUGUUAUUACUAUCAUAUGAUAUUAAAUAUACAACAACAAUAAUAAUGGUAAUUAUUGCUAUUAUUUUAAGAAACCAAAAAGAAGGGAAAGUUUGACUUUAAGCAAACGACCUUGGGGCUGCUAAUAAUUUGUUUUGCACACUGCUUACAAUGCCAGGAUGGGUCCCUCAUUCUUCAGCUCAAUAUACAUUCUGUUGGUAGGAACCACAUUUAUAUGAAUGAGUUCAUUCUCUGAGGGGAGCACAACCCCAUUUUGUGUGUGUGUGUCUGUGUGUGUAGAAAAAAGUUUUCCUCUGUGUCAUUCAAAUCAUCCCAUUGACUUAGCGACAUGAUAUUAAAUGAUUUGUGAUUCAACUUUUUAAAUGAAAGCAUCCUACUACUUCCACUAUUGGCUUCAUUUCAGGAAGGUAAAUUAACAUUUUCUAAAUGAGCUUGAGUGUCCACAUAAGUAUCCAAACCACCUACUCAGAAGUCUAUGCUAGCAUUGCAGUAACUAAAUGGGAACCAGGGCCUUUAACUGGCCUCUUUUACAUGCACGCCUCUAUCCGUGUAUUGUGAGCUUGCUGAGAAUUUUGCAUUCUAUUUUCACUCCGAAAUGUACCAAGCAGAUGGAAUAUACAUUGUUAACUAUAAUAGCAGAGUGCGAUAAAUUUAAAUUCGUGCCUCGCCAUUUUGGAAUAAAAGAAGACCAUUCUCAGCCUAGACAAGCUUUUCAGAAGUGUGGUUGUCCCAUGCAUGUGAACUUGAGUAUCUGGACUUCCUCUGUGUGGCUUGGGCUUAUACUGGCCACAGCCCGAAGGACACCAGAUUGACGCACUAGGAUGAGUGUAUAAAAUCACCACGUAGAUUUUUCUCCUUUCACAUUUUAGGCCAGCUAUACUGGUACCAUGUUCCUUCCCAUGGGCCAGGGUAUGGGGCCUGGAUGACUUGCCUUCAUGAUGACCAUUGCUGGGGACUCUUCUGACCAGUCAAGAGCCGGGAAAUGUCACAAUCAAGAGAUUGUGAAAUGCACUGCUUUCUCCCUCAUUGUUCAUGCAGGGGACUAAUGAAUGGAUACCUGCUGCCAUUAAUCCGCAAUUAGAUCACAUGUUUAACUGCAUGUUUUCUAUGCACGCAUAUAUAAAUAUUAAUUUCGGAUAGGAAGGGAAUCAUUCCGACACCAUAACAAUUAAACAGCUGUAACCUGUCUCGUGUGUUAAAGGAUGGAGCUUCGGGCAAGCUUCAUAGGCAGAUGGUUUUACCCACCCAUACUUAAUGUUAAAGACUUUAAAAAAAAAAAAAGAAUAGAAAAGAAAAAAAAGAGGUGUUGACAAAUCAGAACCAGUCUGCAUAGUUUUAAUGCAAAUCGGUCAAUUUGCAAUGUAGAUUGCCCUAAAAAACUAAUUUGGCGUAUAGGAAAAAAAUUAAGCUCUGCUGUUAAAGGAAGGCAUUAUAUCACAUUUGGAGGUAGUAGGUUCCCCACCAACACAAUUAUUUACUAAUUUCAUUCAACCAACAGAGUUUAAUGGAGAAGCAUCUGACAAUGUACUCAUAUUUAAGGGCCUCCUUUGCUCCUUAAUUUACCCAAGGCACACGCCUGUUGAAUCCGAGAAACAUCAGCUGUAUUUCAGAUGGUUGUUUUCCACUUUAAAGGGGCACUCAAACAGGAGAGGGUCAUCGACCCUCUUAUGAAGAACCGUAGGAAAGAAAUUGGCUUCAGUCACACCAGUAUCUGUGAAUACUGUCAACAGACCAGGGUUUGGGGGGGGGGGGCACUGCUUUUCGGAUGAGCUAUUAGCACAGGAAAAUUUCUCUUUUGAAAUUAGGUAGGUCCCUAUGACUGUCUAAGAAACACCUGUCCUAUGCCUGGUUCUAUUGGCAGUAGAUAGUGCAAGAAGAGACCCACAAGUGGCUAAGGUGCAGAGAAUAAGAGACCACAGAAUGCUUAGCCUAAAUGGGACAUAUCUACUAUGCCUCCUCCCUGAAAGACACAGGGAUCAUAGUGGAAGAGGGAGUAGAGAGAGUGUAAGAGUCAGAUAUGGUGGACGACUGCAAAGAAACUGUCUUCUGGACACAGCAGGGCAGCUACACAUACAAGACCCCAGCAUGCCCAAGCCAGACUGAAUCCCAGCAUGGGAAUGGGAGCUGUUUGCAACUGCUGGGAAAGAGAGAGAGUUCUCUCCAAGGGUGAGGCUCCUCAUAAGUUGGCCACACUCCAGUGGAAACAGACCUAAGAAUACUAGGGCAACACAAACUGGUCUUGAUGGGUUUAAAGGAAUGGACCCAAAUUUGAGUGACUAGGGGAGUGUGGUUAAUAUGCAUAAGAAACUCUCAAAGAACUAAUACACUUACAGAAACUUAUAUAGGCACAAGCCUUUAAUCCCAACACUUGGAAGGGAGAGGCAGACAGAUCUCUGUGAGUUCGAGGCCAGCCUGGUCUACAGAAUGAGUUCUAGGACAGCCAGGGAUACACAGAGAAACCUGCACUGAAAAACAAACAAAACUUUAUAUAGAUGAAGGUGAAAGCAACCAGCAACUAAAUGGCAGGUGAAAAGGAAACUAAGAGGCUGCUUUCCACUUGUCUUACGCACGAAAGGAAAGUCUGCCCGGGCAAGACUGAGUCGACGCUGCGUGGAGGAGUGAGACAGUGUUUGGAACUGGGGGCUUUAUUCUCUCACCCUUACAAUAAAGCAAAUCAAAAUCUACUGUGUUGUGUACAUAGUGAGCAAGCAUGCAAUGUAUCUAUUAUCUCUCCCUAUCUAUCUAUCUAUCUAUCUAUCUAUCUAUCUAUCUAUCUAUCUAUCUAUCUAUCUAUCUAUCUAUCUAUCUAUCUACCGUCUCUCUUGCCCUCUCUAUCUAUCCAUCCAUCCAUCUAUCCAUCCGCCCACCCAUCCAUCUAUCUUUGAGAUAAGGUCUCUCACUAAACCUUGUGUUCACUGACUGUCAAGACCGUUUGGCCAGCAAACACUUGAGAUCCUCUUGUCUGCCUCCCAGUGCUGGGAACAUAGAUGCAGUACCCAUGCUAAGCUUCUUACAUGGUGCUGAGGAUCUCUGCUCAGGUCCUCAUGCUUGUAAAACAAGUACUUUACUCUGUGAUCAAUUUUCCCCAAGCCUCUAACUUUUUAUUCACCUCCUUAGAAUGCUAUCAUUCUUAGCAUAUAAAAAAAAAAAUCACCUAAACUGCAUAUUAGUUCCUCCUUAGCUGCCUGGCUCUUUAAGUUACCUGGGUAGAGUUUUGGGAAAGAUGUAGCAACUUCAUAUAAGCUUUCCCUUCUUUGCGCAUGCCCCGAAAUAGUUGAAAACAAUAUUGUGCAUGUGGCUUCAAUUCCUAACGCUGUGGCUCUUUACUUCCCAACUAAAAGGCUUCUGAGGAACUUAGCCAUAACUGAAGAGAAUAUUUUUUUCUUUUCUUCUCCGUUCAACUGUAUAUCUAGACAAUUGAGUUUUAAAACCACUGAGAUGAGAGGUUUUGGUGGUAACUAAAAUCUUAAAGAUGGUUCUUAAAUGAUGCAAUCAACAAGGCAUUCCACGUUGAAAAUGAUAUUCCAGCGUGUUAGCACAGAACCAAUGGCAAGUUUACAUAAAACAGUAUGAUUUGAAAACUGAAAUGUACCUCAGUAAGCCUUUAUUCAGUGUUAGGGAUUGAGAAAUGUUACCCCAAAGCAUGGUGCUUGAUGUGUUAAGUGCUUUGAUCUGAUGGUGAAUAAGGUUUCUAGGACCUCCUUCUACCUGCCACCCCCUUAUGGGUGGCAGAGGGGGAUGUUUCUGCAGUUGUUUGAUCUUCCUAAGGUAACUCCCUCUUGGAGAAGCAGUAAGUCCUGGUCCUGGAUGCCACAAACAUCUUAUUAAGCAGAGAGUCUGGCACUUGCCCUUCUAGGAAGUGUUACUUGCAUUUCUUUUGUGUAUUUGGCUCCUUCCAUCUCUAAGGUUUGCAUCUCUUGGGAGUUUCUAGGUCUCUUGUCACCUUCCCCAGAAAAAUCUUAAGUCUAUCUUUCUGCAGCUUUUUAUACUUGAACCAUCUGACCCCCCUUGACUUUUCGUAUUACGUGUUAAGUCACCAUGCAAACUUGUACAGCAGCAACAUAUUUAUAUCUUACUUUCCCAUUAAUCUGUUAGUUUGUUUCUGUUACAAAACUGUCCUGUUUAUCUGUCUCUGGACAUCCUAUUUAUAUUAUAGCCUUGAGUUACUAAGUCUUCAGGAGGUGAGUUGAAACCUCUUUCCUCCCCUGCAUCUGUUAACAUCUUUCAGAAAACGCUUAAGCAAAUGAACUGACUUACAAUGAGAAUGAGACUUAAGGAAUGACGGAACUCUUAGACACGGCAUAGAACAUGUUAAUUUAAGUUAAUGGAACUCUUAAAGUCAAUGGAAAUCUUAAGUCAAUAAAAAUCACAGACACAGUAGAGAAAUUAUCAAUUUAAAUUAAUGAAUUAAGACAAUUCCUUGAAGGCUGACAAUACAGCUUGGGGGUACAUAACCUACUUGGCAUGUGUCAAGUCUUGGGUCCAAACUCUAUCAGCACCGUCCCAACCCCCUCAAAUCUUAAGUAAUUAUGAUUUAGAAGUUGGUUUCCCCUACACAGAAAGUUAGCUGAGCCCUAACUAAAACUCGCUAGGAAACGAUGCAGUCUCCGGUGGGAUUUACAUAGAAACUAGGAUGAGAAGGCAAAAGGUUGUUCAGAUCUGAGAACUGACAUUCUCAGGCCGAUGAUGCUGUCGCCCCCUAAUAAAUCUCAGUACCAAGGACGGAAAACAGUGAGACUAGGCUGAGAAGGGCGCUCCAACAGCAAAUGCUGACUAUGCUCGGAUUUCAACCCAUCCUUAGGGAAAAGGAAAUGGGUAUACUAAGAAAUAACCCCACCCGGUGACUGGAGAACACCUGUCACAACAGCCAACUGGAUGGUGAUUUUACAAAUGCUAUAGAAAACCAGGUGCCAAGGCAACUGAAGAUUCAAAUCUAAGCUUUUUUUUUUUUUUUUUUUUUUUUAAGGAUUUGAAUGGUAUGAGAAGAUAAUUUAAUUAUUUGAUACUUUAUGUAUUUAUUAAAUCAUGAUACAUACAUCAUAUAAAGGGAAGUCUAUAAGGAUACAGAAGGGCAGAACAGAACAGAAUACUAUAGACGAUGCAAUGUAUUUCAAAACCAUCCAAAGAAGAGUGCACAUUUACUACAACUCUGUUGCUUUAUGGGUAUGGGUUAUAAAGCAGAAAUCAAGUGACUCAAACCCUUUGACAGGUAGCAUUUGAGGCUAACCCAUGUCAGAAACACGGAGUCUCAUUGAAUCAGGCUCCACCAGGACCUCUGAAUCAGUUUCCAUUGGCUGAGUGCUCACUCACUCAGCAGGUAAAAGACACGGACAGAAAGCACGGUUCUACCACUGUUUGCACCCUUGGCCAGCACUGAGUUGAACCCACAGCUCCAAGGCUUUCUGUGAUGAGAUCAGUAUACGUUAAAAAAAAAAAUCAAAACAAAACAAAGAGUGAUUCAUAUGGUCAUAUGGGAGGGAGAAGAACCACUUGAAGGUGAAAUAAACCACACCAAAAUAGACACCCAACAUUCCUUCCUCGCAGACCUGACACAGGCUGAGUGGCGAAACAUGAACAUCUCUGACACACCUUUUAGAGUAAAGAGAGCACUGACAUCCUAAUGAGAGAGGGUGCCCAUCUCUUAGAGAGGUCAGAGAAAGCAGGUUUGCACUUGUGGCAAAGGGACUAAAUGACCUAAUUUAAGAAAAUUACCAAUUCCGAAGGUAUUAUGGAAGAUGAAGUAGUGUAUAUAAAACCAUUAAAUGAAUAACUUAGGGCUCAAAUGAGAAAAAUAAUGUCGGAGAGGCCCCAGAUGGACACUCAGGUUAACCUCGACAGAAGAAAUCAGACAUCAGAAAUCCAGACUGGCUUCCAGAACACGGAUGAUGCUCAGUCAGCUUAGAAGGGGGCUUCCCUCCAUUCCCUAGGGGGCCAGUCUGCUGGAGUCACAUCCGACUUUAUAUCAGCUUAGCAUUGAGUAGCUCAUUCCUUAACAAGCCACAAUGCUAUAGGCUCCACGGAAAGACUUUCAGCCUACCUGACUCUCUACUGCCCAGCAGGCUCAGGAAAGUGUCCUUCAGAUCAACCCCGUACUUCACGGCUCCAUGCCGACCCGCCCUGCACAAGGGGUCACAGAUCACCGUGAAGCUAUUGGCUUUACCCCAAGCAUCCUGGGAAGACAAGGAGUUAAUCCUGGUACCCAGCAGGCAUCCCUGAUUCUCAGAGGGAAUGAGUAGAACCUGAGAGAUGGUUCAGGAAGAAAGUAGUGAUUGGUGUCAGUCCAUUAACCAUCAGCCCAAAUGCUCCAGUAGCAGCAGUAAUGGUAAGACGCCUCCAUGUGGGGUUUGCUCUGUGCCAGGGCUGUGCCCACUACAAUUUUCCUCUGCCCAACACUCUCAGCAGCUCCAGGAGGGAGCUAGGUCUCUUUAUUCCCACUUUACAAAUGAGGAAACAGAGACACAGGAGACCUGUGUACCUUCCUAUCAUGCCAUAGAUAGCACAUGAUACAGCAUGGGGGGACGGGGGGGGGGAGGAUUGGGGGUUCAGGGUGGCGGUUGGGGACAGGGUAGAUUUAGUUUAUUUGGGGUGGUGAUGGUUGAAAUGCUUACAACGUGGGAGGAGAGUCUCUUCAGGAAAAAUAACCUCAAGAUAGAUGAAGUGCUGUACCAGAGUAAAGAAUUAUUUGGAACAAGGAAAAUCACCGCAAAGGUAGAAGAAAAUUUAAGUUGAGGAAUAGCACACAUGUCAGAAAAGCUAUACAAUGUUUACUAAAUGACAGCCAUGUCUCUAAACAGCCAUUUUCUCCAAGACUGCCGGACAACACUCACUUUGUCUCCUUAAAACAACAAUGAUUUUGUAAUAUUUCUGUAGAGUGGAGAAAGAUAACUUGGUCUUCAUUCAAUGUGAAGUAUAACACACAGCUGUGCACAAGGGAAAGUGUGCUGGAGAGGAGGCUGGAAUAUGAAGAGACAGAGGUCCUAAGUGAUUUGUAAACGUCAUAGCAAUACAUGGCUAGAUGAAGUCCUGGUCCCUCAGUGAGGCCUUAGAACAGGCUGGUAGGGAUGAGAGACCCUGAUGCUUAGGCUUCUGCGACUGCCCAGUAAAGCUGGCUUGGCCCAGGACUCAGGUACCAUGGCAUGAUUGUUCUCUUACCUACUCUUCUCUAUUGACUGACAGGAAACUGAAUGGUCCCAGCGUGUUGGUAUACAGAUGUGUAGUAGUGUGUAUGUGUUGAUUACAAAUAGCAUUUGAACAAAAAGAUACUUUAAAAAUUCCAUGUGGUCUUAUUAUAUUAAUUCUAACUUUUUUGGGGGGUGGGGGGAGAUACUACGAAAAAACCUGCUGAAAGUUCCCAAACAACUAAAUUUGUAAUGUAAACAAAGCACUCAUACACUCUUAUUUUUCCCAACUGUCACAUGGUUUUUCCACGUGAAUAAAACUACUACUCUUACACUAUUGCUUGAGGUAAGAAUGGAACAUGUGGCCACGCUGGCAAAGGCUUGGAUCCUUCCCUCUCCCAUACUCCCUAGCUGCUACAGUUCCUUGUCUGUUUCUCGUCUUCCAUACCCCAAAGAUCAGGGCAACCACACUGUUUAACAGGAGUUUGUGGAGUACAGUAUACCUAAGUUUUGUCUGGGCAAACAAGCACGUCUUUGUGAUCAUUCAUGAUUGUGUUUCCCGAUGUUCUAAGGAAUUAGAAUAAAAACAAAUAGCUGGAUUGUAGCAUAAAAAAUUAGUAUUUCCCCUAGGUCAAAUUUCCAUUUGAAUCGCCUCAAAAGAACAACAACAACAACAACAAAAUCAAUGCUGUUCAAUAGACAACUCUGUAUUUGAGACAUUACUAGAAGAAAAAUAUCAUGAUAUAUCUUCCCUUCCCUUUAUAUCAUGAUUUCAAAAACAACUCUUUAAACCCGACCCAGACACACACGGCUUCUUAUUAACCAAUAUCCACCCUGACAUGAGGCAAGAAUUCUGUUAACUCUUUAAGUAAAUGCCCCUGGCAACUUGUUUUUUAUUGUAGAUUUUUAAGAUAGUGACUCCCUAGGUUCUUGGGAUGGACUUGAACUUGUGAUCCUCCUGCAUCAGCCUCCUGAGUGCUGGGGUUAUGGACCGUACCACCAGACUUUACUGGUUUCACAAUAUGUUAAUACCUAAGCCACGGUCUGAGCUGCAGUUUGUCUCUUUCCUACUUACCAAGAAAAUUGAGACUCAAAGCUAUUAACUUUCCUUUAUAAGCACUAGAUUAAGUGCUAUAAUUCAUAGGAUAGCGUUUUUCUCUAACCGAAACAAUUCUUUGAUGUAUGUAACGUUCACAUUCUUCGUAAGAGGAUACAAAUAUAGAGUGACAAUGGAUUAAUUUCUCAAUGUCAUUUAAUUGUUCAGCAAGGACAUAAGUCCACAAGUUCUCAGACAUUCGAACACUGUAUUCUAAAAUCACACAUAAAUAUUAAUUAUCAUAAUCACUUUACAUUGGAAAAAGACUCCAACUAAGGCAAAGAACAGUUAAGACACUAGUCAUGCUGAACCCCCAAAAUGACUUAAAGACAUUCAGAGUCUGUGUAUUAAAAAGAUGUUACAGCGCCUUUUAAAUGGAACAGUAUUUAGUACGUAUAAUAGAGACGCCAUUCCAUGGUACUUAAUGGGCAAAAUAAGUGAAUUCGUAUGGAAAAAGUAAUGGGGGUGGGCAGGUGAUAUCUCGGGAUAUCACAAAGUGGUUCUCGGGACUUCUUCAGAAGUGAAGACGAUUCCUUCCUGUGGCAAAAGGAAACUGAGGUGACGAGGGAACCCCGUGCUUAGGUCUACUACCUCCGCAUUGUCAACAGAAACCAUCAACAGCUAAGACAUCCCAAAACUGCAAAUGACCUGGAGAAUCUUUCGGAUCCAAGAGACUACUUAAUCCUUUGGGAUAACGGACGGAAUGGAAGGAAAUUAAAAAGCACCCCACUUCUAAAAUUAACACGAAAGGGAAAACGGAAUGGCCAAUCUCACACACCUACCGAAUUCUGACAGACUGUUAAGGCUUACUGGAAUGGAGAUUCAACUAUUUCAAAGGGGGCUUUUCCCGAGAUUUAGGUAUGUUCUCUAGCCCGUCAUCUUCCCUGUUACUAAUAUAAGCCCAUUUCCUCCCUUUCGGUUCUCUGGAGAAAUGAAAAGCACCAGUGGGUUUGAGAAGACCCUCAGCCAUCCUCAGAGCUGGCAGAGCUGAGCCUUCUUGUCCGUGACACCUAUUCAUGGGAGAGAACAGUCAAGUGUUAUUCAACACCCCUACGGCCUGUUCACGACUCAAUCUCAUCUCUGGUCUCCAAUGCACUCAGAUAGGCAUAAAUGGAUAACGAAGGGAAAAAUCUUUUCAAUGGAUGCUAAAGAGAAAAGGCCUUGUGGGAGUUAUAGAUUGAUGAAUGCUCAAAAACGAGGCAGUUAGGACUUCUCCCUGCCCAGGGCAUUCAGUUAGCUUUGCACUCCGCUAAUAAGCAACAUGCAGACGUGGAGACAGGAUUUGCUUUGUUUCUGUGGCCACUAAAGUAGAGUCACAGGCCGACGGCAGACAACUCUCCUUUCUUUUACCUGAGACAAGUGGUUGAACCAAACCGACCAACCGAGUUGCCUUCACAUAUCUAAGGGUUCUAAGUCUAUUCCAGUUAAACACAGGGAUAGGAACUCACUCGGUCUGCUCAAAACUCACCAGUAUCUCGCAGUUUACAGAUUUGAACUUAUCAGAUACUAGUUUUAAACCUGACUCACAUCAACCCUCACAGAGCACAAUCGUCUAAUCCUCUUAAAUAUCGUGAUAGACACGUGAUACUCAAAUUACGGCAAUUGUUGUUUAGAAGAUAUUUAAUUCCAGUCCACAUGAGUUUUUUCUGGUUUUUUUUUUGACUUGCUUCUGGGGUCCUCUAUGCUAUCCUUACACACUUCCUACCUCUAUGCUAUCCUUACACACUUCCUACCUCUAUGCUAUCCUUACACACUUCCUACCUCUAUGCUAUCCUUACACACUUCCUACCUCUAUGCUAUCCUUACACACUUCCUACCUCUAUGCUAUCCUUACACACUUCCUACCUCUAUGCUAUCCUUACACACUUCCUACCUCUAUGCUAUCCUUACACACUUCCUACCUCAGGAGAAAUAGGGGAAUCCUCCCUCCCACAGAUAAGCCACAGCCCAACACGACUGUUACCACGAUCUCGGGGCUACACUAGUGUUAUGGGCUGUUAGCGUCAAGCCAUGUCAAUGACAAGUACUGCUGCCUGUACAGAUGUGGCACUUUCUGCUUCUUUAUUCAUAAAAGGGCCCAAUAUUCCUAAGUGCCUUCCUGGGGGGGGGGUUGGGGCGGGGAGAGAAAGAUAUCCCUUUUUAUCACAAUAUUCCUGAAAAAAAUCAGUCUCCUAUUGUUUUAUCUUUCAUCUGCACAUAUCACGAGUAAAAGAGUAACCGAAGCAAGGAAGACUUGGCACAAGCCCUGUGGAUGAACACGUCUACUUUGCGGAACUCAUCAUUUGUAAAGAGGAAGAUACGACCACACUAAUAAAAAUAUCAGCAUGAGACUCUCUAUGUGAGAGCAAGUGUCCAGUGAGUAUUCUGCAUUCCCAACUCUUUCACUACCAGCAUGCCCAUGAUGUUAUGAAAGCAGGAACCGAGUUUAUGAAGACAGUCAGGUGACCAAUGAAUACUCUUCUGCUAUCUGUCGAGAACCCGUGUUUGCUCCUCCAACUCUCUUUCAAUUAACCUCCCUGUUUGUAGUCUAUGGAAUGACUCGAAAUAUGGAGAAAGGAAAAUAAAAUCCCGAUGACUUAUGAGGAGUCUCUCGCAAGAUGACAGUUUCUUUCAGCCAGAUACGUGUUGGAACUGAGAGGAACAGGAAGUAACAGUCCCAAAUGGGGACAGGCUCCACCACUUCCUGGCUGCCUUGCCAGCGGCUCACAAGUGGCCCUUGGGCUUCACUGUGACAUGCACAAAAGCAGACAGGAGAAGGGCAAAACUGGAAUCAUUCUAGCAGCAUGAAGGAUCAAAGCAGGACUAAAGGGAUUGCUACACUCUUCUUUUAGGUGCUGCUGAGAAUUGAGCCCAGGGGCUUCUGUAUCCUGGAAAAACAUUUUACCACAGAGCUACGUCCUCAGCCCUACACAUCCAGCUAGAAUUAAUUUAUGAAGUUGAGUGAGAUAAGAAGCAUCAUCGUGUCGUCUUGUCUCUGCGGUGGGAGGACUCAGAUUCUGGUGAAGAGAUGUUUGGACCCAGGGGCGCUGGACUGUCCUUUGUGCUUUCAGAGAAAGAGACAGAAAACCUGCUUGUCAACUGUUGCCUGCCUUAGUGUAGCUUCAUGAGUCUCCUGUGGGCCCUGCCCUAGAAGCCAGCAGAAGGGAGAGCCAUGUCAAAGCAGGGAUGAACACUGAGCAAGAGUUAUGAAUACGGAUGUUUGGGGAUGAUUGCGGAAGACAGAACCGCUCCUUAGUGUCAGCGAGUCACCCCUAAGGGUCUUGUAGAGGUGAUGGUGCAGAAGGCAUGUUAGAAGCUGGUGGGGCUGGGUCUUGUGUGGCAUCUAAAAAGUGUGGGCACUCCCUAUAUUGCUACAGGUUCUGAGUCUAGAAGGAGCCCUAAAUGCUUGCUCUUCUGAGAGUCUGAGAUGACAGCGAUCAUGGCGAACAGAAGACGGUCCUCAAGCCCAAACCCUUGCACCUUCAGUUUCAAAGGCUUUCUUCUCGGAGAAAAUUCUGCACAGUGAAGUGUCUCAGCAAGUAGAAAGGCUGGCCCUUCAUGGGACUCCAGACUCUGACGUGUCCUUCCUUCUUUCUGAUUACUAUAAACUACAGCCGUGAAUCCAAUCAACUCUAAGAGUCCUAAGAGUCUUCCCAGAAGAUCACCAAACGUGGGGCUGUGGUGGGACCCUUGAAAGAGAUGUCAAGGGAUGCCAACAACACUGCAGAGAAUCUUACAUAAAGUUGGUAAAGACAGAAUUAUGCUAACUUAAAAGAAGAUUAACUUUUAAUUGUGUGUGUGUGUGUGUGAGGGGGGUGUAUGUGGGCGGGGGGUGGGUUAUGUGCAUGUGACAGUCUUAGAACACAUGUGUGAUUUCAAAUUGUCCCAUGAUGAAAUUUCUUGCUGCCCAACUCCUGUAAGCAAAAUAAGAAGUGCAUCAUACACACCCACUGGAAGGAUACAGUAAGUUACCAACACCGUCCCAAAUCGCUUCAUUAACAUUUUACCUGCCAAGUGCAAAAUAUUGGGGAACAUAUGGUGCCUUACCUUUGAAACUCUUGUCAGCCUGCCCUGUACAAUCAUUGAUGGUCAUUUUUAAUGAGGUGAGGUAGAAACUUAUGACUCGCUUUACCUUUUAAUGUACUUUAUGAGUUGAGCAUUUGAAUUCUGCAAUUUGAAGGGUACGGGAAUACUGCAUGUGUUGAAAGGGUGGUAACUUGUUCUAGAUCCUCUUGAAUCCUUGUUAAACGUUGGCUAGGUACAGGCAACCCUUUUCACUACUUUAGUUUUUUUUUUUUUCUUUUUUUCCUUUUACAAAAACCAUUUUUGGUCUGAAAAAUAUGGUUAAUAUUUUAUCCAACCUACAGGCAUUUGUGAAGAUCAUCAUAUUUGAAGAAGUGUCAGGCAUAUAAAAAAAACCAGCUACUCUUGGGCUUACUUUAGUUUACUUCUAAUGAUAUUGGAA
Molecule: long non-coding RNA, 20980 nt
Organism: Mus musculus (house mouse)
Lineage: Eukaryota; Metazoa; Chordata; Mammalia; Rodentia; Muridae
Product: predicted gene, 51531
Exons: 3
Source: RefSeq, a predicted model, not a curated record